Molecule: small nucleolar RNA, 68 nt
Organism: Heteronotia binoei (common prickly gecko)
Lineage: Eukaryota; Metazoa; Chordata; Lepidosauria; Squamata; Gekkonidae
Product: small nucleolar RNA SNORD52
Exons: 1
Source: RefSeq, a predicted model, not a curated record
UGUGCUGAUGAGUUUGCUCAGACUAGAGUCUCUGAGAUGCUCUUGAUGUCUCUUUAAAGCUCUGAGCA